Long non-coding RNA from Rhagoletis zephyria (snowberry fruit fly), 550 nucleotides. RefSeq lists it as uncharacterized. The record is from RefSeq and is a predicted model, not a curated record. Lineage: Eukaryota; Metazoa; Arthropoda; Insecta; Diptera; Tephritidae.
GUUGGAAUUGAGGAUGAGGACAGCGUAGACGGCCCCAUGGUUGGAGUUCGAAUGCUCCGGUCCCUAUGGUGCAAUUGCUGUUGGUACGUUUUCAACAGGUUCCUCGCAUGCAUGUCCACUUGGGUUAAGAGGAUCACUAGAGUUGGGUCCCCUGUGGUCCUUGGUGUGUUGGGUUCGGUCUCGGAUACCGGAGUUGCAUUAACCCCCUGCUUUUCUUCGGUUUGUACGGCCACCGUCUUCAUUUUCCCGCUUUGUGGUAGCAUACCAGUCGAAAUGCUAGGUCCCGGUUGACACCAUUGUACACCCGCAAAGUUGCCUCGUAGUGAAAUGGGUAGUAUGGCGUACGGAAACCGACAAUAAAGGCGGUGUUGUCGAACAUGUUGCGUGGUACGCCUUUGGCCAGUGACGUCCUGAAGUCGCUGAAGCCGAUUUGGUCAGGAGAACUGAUACGUAGAUAGCCGAUUGCGGCACGGUGUGUCGGCUCGUCAUGCCACUGGGCGAACAGGACGCGAAUUUCCCCGCCAGUCGCUUGUGACUCGAAUGGCGGUGC